This 124-nucleotide small RNA is filed under the name Ulvibacter antarcticus. RNAcentral describes it as "Flavo-1 RNA". It matches the Rfam family "Flavo-1 RNA". Lineage: Bacteria; Pseudomonadati; Bacteroidota; Flavobacteriia; Flavobacteriales; Flavobacteriaceae. The record is from RNAcentral.
UUUCUGCGUUAGGGAUAGUAACGGCAUCCUUUUUCUGUCGCCGGUUUUUAGUCUGUCAGCCCAACAUAAUUCUACAAUUUAGUUGAGGCAGCAGAAAAAGAUAAAGUGGAUAGCCCGACCCUAA